Molecule: ribosomal RNA, 1140 nt
Filed under: Phormidesmis communis
Lineage: Bacteria; Bacillati; Cyanobacteriota; Cyanophyceae; Leptolyngbyales; Leptolyngbyaceae
Description: 16S ribosomal RNA
Rfam family: Bacterial small subunit ribosomal RNA
Source: RNAcentral
CGAAAGCCUGACGGAGCAAUACCGCGUGAGGGAGGAAGGCUCUUGGGUCGUAAACCUCUUUUAUCAGGGAAGAAACAAAUGACGGUACCUGAUGAAUCAGCAUCGGCUAACUCCGUGCCAGCAGCCGCGGUAAUACGGAGGAUGCAAGCGUUAUCCGGAAUUAUUGGGCGUAAAGCGUCCGCAGGUGGUUUUGAAAGUUUGCUGUCAAAGCGCGGAGCUUAACUUCGUACCGGCAGUGAAAACUACGAGACUAGAGUUUGGUAGGGGUCACGGGAAUUCCCAGUGUAGCGGUGAAAUGCGUAGAGAUUGGGAAGAACACCAGCGGCGAAAGCGCGUGACUGGGCCUGAACUGACACUCAUGGACGAAAGCUAGGGGAGCGAAAGGGAUUAGAUACCCCUGUAGUCCUAGCCGUAAACGAUGACAACUAGGUGUUGCCCGUAUCGACCCGGGCAGUGCCGUAGCCAACGCGUUAAGUUGUCCGCCUGGGGAGUACGCACGCAAGUGUGAAACUCAAAGGAAUUGACGGGGGCCCGCACAAGCGGUGGAGUAUGUGGUUUAAUUCGAUGCAACGCGAAGAACCUUACCAAGGCUUGACAUGUCGCGAACCCUCUUGAAAGGGAGGGGUGCCUUCGGGAGCGCGAACACAGGUGGUGCAUGGCUGUCGUCAGCUCGUGUCGUGAGAUGUUGGGUUAAGUCCCGCAACGAGCGCAACCCUCGUUUCUAGUUGCCAUCAUUAAGUUGGGCACUUUAGAGAGACUGCCGGUGACAAACCGGAGGAAGGUGGGGAUGACGUCAAGUCAGCAUGCCCCUUACGCCUUGGGCUACACACGUACUACAAUGCUACGGACAAAGAGCCGCAAGUUCGCGAGGACAAGCAAAUCUCAUAAACCGUGGCUCAGUUCAGAUUGCAGGCUGCAACUCGCCUGCAUGAAGGCGGAAUCGCUAGUAAUCGCAGGUCAGCAUACUGCGGUGAAUACGUUCCCGGGCCUUGUACACACCGCCCGUCACACCAUGGAAGUUGGCCACGCCCGAAGUCAUUACUCCAACCCUUCGGGGAGGAGGAUGCCGAAGGCAGGGCUGAUGACUGGGGUGAAGUCGUAACAAGGUAGCCGUACCGGAAGGUGUGGCUGGAUCACCUC